This 406-nucleotide ribosomal RNA is filed under the name Arthrobacter agilis. Its description in RNAcentral is "bacterial SSU rRNA". It matches the Rfam family "Bacterial small subunit ribosomal RNA", at positions 340 to 748 of the family's 1533-position model. Lineage: Bacteria; Bacillati; Actinomycetota; Actinomycetes; Micrococcales; Micrococcaceae. The record is from RNAcentral.
UACGGGGGGCUGCAGUGGGGAAUAUUGCACAAUGGGCGCAAGCCUGAUGCAGCGACGCCGCGUGAGGGAUGAAGGCCUUCGGGUUGUAAACCUCUUUCAGUAGGGAAGAAGCUGGCCUUUGGGUUGGUGACGGUACCUGCAGAAGAAGCGCCGGCUAACUACGUGCCAGCAGCCGCGGUAAUACGUAGGGCGCAAGCGUUAUCCGGAAUUAUUGGGCGUAAAGAGCUCGUAGGCGGUUUGUCGCGUCUGCCGUGAAAGUCCGGGGCUUAACUCCGGAUCUGCGGUGGGUACGGGCAGACUAGAGUGCAGUAGGGGAGACUGGAAUUCCUGGUGUAGCGGUGAAAUGCGCAGAUAUCAGGAGGAACACCGAUGGCGAAGGCAGGUCUCUGGGCUGUAACUGACGCUG